AGUUUGAUCCUGGCUCAGGAUGAACGCUAGCUACAGGCUUAACACAUGCAAGUCGAGGGGCAGCAUGUCGGUUGCUUGCAACCGAUGAUGGCGACCGGCGCACGGGUGAGUAACGCGCAUCCAACCUACCCUUGUCCAUCGGAUAACCCGUCGAAAGGCGGCCUAACACGAUAUGCGGUUCACCGCAGGCAUCUAACGUGAACGAAAUGUGAAGGAGAAGGAUGGGGAUGCGUCUGAUUAGCUUGUUGGCGGGGUAACGGCCCACCAAGGCUACGAUCAGUAGGGGUUCUGAGAGGAAGGUCCCCCACAUUGGAACUGAGACACGGUCCAAACUCCUACGGGAGGCAGCAGUGAGGAAUAUUGGUCAAUGGACGAGAGUCUGAACCAGCCAAGUAGCGUGCAGGAUGACGGCCCUAUGGGUUGUAAACUGCUUUUAUAGGGGGAUAAAGUGUGUCACGUGUGGCAUAUUGCAGGUACCCUAUGAAUAAGGACCGGCUAAUUCCGUGCCAGCAGCCGCGGUAAUACGGAAGGUCCGGGCGUUAUCCGGAUUUAUUGGGUUUAAAGGGAGCGUAGGCCGUUUGGUAAGCGUGUUGUGAAAUGUCGGGGCUCAACCUGGGCAUUGCAGCGCGAACUGCCAGACUUGAGUGCGCAGGAAGUAGGCGGAAUUCGUCGUGUAGCGGUGAAAUGCUUAGAUAUGACGAAGAACUCCGAUUGCGAAGGCAGCCUGCUGUAGCGCAACUGACGCUGAAGCUCGAAAGCGUGGGUAUCGAACAGGAUUAGAUACCCUGGUAGUCCACGCGGUAAACGAUGGAUGCUCGCUGUUUGCGUCUGACGUAAGCGGCCAAGCGAAAGCGUUAAGCAUCCCACCUGGGGAGUACGCCGGCAACGGUGAAACUCAAAGGAAUUGACGGAAGGG
This 916-nucleotide ribosomal RNA is filed under the name uncultured bacterium. RNAcentral describes it as "bacterial SSU rRNA". It matches the Rfam family "Bacterial small subunit ribosomal RNA", at positions 10 to 921 of the family's 1533-position model. The record is from RNAcentral.